RNAcentral lists this ribosomal RNA (497 nucleotides) under uncultured bacterium. RNAcentral describes it as "partial 16S ribosomal RNA". It matches the Rfam family "Bacterial small subunit ribosomal RNA", at positions 28 to 507 of the family's 1533-position model. The record is from RNAcentral.
GAUGAACGCUGGCGGCGUGCCUAAUACAUGCAAGUCGAGCGAACGGACGAGAAGCUUGCUUCUCUGAUGUUAGCGGCGGACGGGUGAGUAACACGUGGAUAACCUACCUAUAAGACUGGGAUAACUUCGGGAAACCGGAGCUAAUACCGGAUAAUAUUUUGAACCGCAUGGUUCAAAAGUGAAAGACGGUCUUGCUGUCACUUAUAGAUGGAUCCGCGCUGCAUUAGCUAGUUGGUAAGGUAACGGCUUACCAAGGCAACGAUGCAUAGCCGACCUGAGAGGGUUGUCCGCCACCCUUGAACUGAGACACGGUCCAGACUCCUACGGGAGGCAGCAGUAGGGAAUCUUCCGCAAUGGGCGAAAGCCUGACGGAGCAACGCCGCGUGAGUGAUGAAGGUCUUCGGAUCGUAAAACUCUGUUAUUAGGGAAGAACAUAUGUGUAAGUAACUGUGCACAUCUUGACGGUACCUAAUCAGAAAGCCACGGCUAACUACGUG